Molecule: ribosomal RNA, 479 nt
Filed under: uncultured bacterium
Lineage: Bacteria
Description: bacterial SSU rRNA
Rfam family: Bacterial small subunit ribosomal RNA
Source: RNAcentral
AGAGUUUGAUCAUGGCUCAGAGCGAACGCUAGCGGCAGGCUUAACACAUGCAAGUCGAGCGGGAUGACUUCGGUCAUCCAGCGGCGCACGGGUGAGUAACACGUAGGUAACGUACCCUUUGGUGAGGAACAACCCAGGGAAACCUGGGCUAAUGCCACCUAUGUCCUUCGGGAUGAAAGUCGAAAGACGCCAGGGGAUCGGCCUGCGGCCCAUUAUCUAAUCCUAGUUGGUAAGGUAACGGCUUACCAAGGGUACGAUGGGUAGCUGGUCUGAGAGGAUGAUCAGCCACACUGGGACUGAGACACGGCCCAGACUCCUACGGGAGGCAGCAGUGGGGAAUAUUGCGCAAUGGGCGAAAGCCUGACGCAGCCAUGCCGCGUGAGUGAUGAAGGCCCUCGGGUCGUAAAGCUCUGUCGGGAGGGACGAAGGGUGGCAACACUCUGACGGUACCUCGCAAGAAAGCACCGGCUAACUCCGUG